GACCGCACCGGUGGCCUAGUGGUUAGAGUGUCCGACUCGGAUGCGGGAGGUUGUGGCUUCGAUCUCCGGUUGAGUCA
Potamilus streckersoni is the source of this 77-nucleotide non-coding RNA. Lineage: Eukaryota; Metazoa; Mollusca; Bivalvia; Unionida; Unionidae. The record is from the annotation of a GenBank genome assembly.